This 465-nucleotide ribosomal RNA is filed under the name uncultured bacterium. RNAcentral describes it as "bacterial SSU rRNA". It matches the Rfam family "Bacterial small subunit ribosomal RNA", at positions 338 to 795 of the family's 1533-position model. The record is from RNAcentral.
CCUACGGGUUGCAGCAGUGGGGAAUAUUGCACAAUGGGCGCAAGCCUGAUGCAGCCAUGCCGCGUGUAUGAAGAAGGCCUUCGGGUUGUAAAGUACUUUCAGCGGGGAGGAAGGUGUUGUGGUUAAUAACCACAGCAAUUGACGUUACCCGCAGAAGAAGCACCGGCUAACUCCGUGCCAGCAGCCGCGGUAAUACGGAGGGUGCAAGCGUUAAUCGGAAUUACUGGGCGUAAAGCGCACGCAGGCGGUUGAUUAAGUUAGAUGUGAAAUCCCCGGGCUUAACCUGGGAAUGGCAUCUAAGACUGGUCAGCUAGAGUCUUGUAGAGGGGGGUAGAAUUCCAUGUGUAGCGGUGAAAUGCGUAGAGAUGUGGAGGAAUACCGGUGGCGAAGGCGGCCCCCUGGACAAAGACUGACGCUCAGGUGCGAAAGCGUGGGGAGCAAACAGGAUUAGAUACCCUCGUAGUC